GACAGAGGGUGCAAACGUUGCUCGGAAUUACUGGGCGUAAAGCGCGUGUAGGCGGUUCCGCCAGUCGGGUGUGAAAUCCCGGGGCUCAACCCCGGGACUGCAUUCGAUACUGUCAGGCUAGAGGUAGGUAGGGGAGAUCGGAAUUCCUGGUGUAGCGGUGAAAUGCGCAGAUAUCAGGAGGAACACCGGUGGCGAAGGCGGACCUCUGGGCAUUUCCUGACGCUGAGGCGCGAAAGCGUGGGGAGCAAACGGG
Molecule: ribosomal RNA, 253 nt
Filed under: uncultured bacterium
Lineage: Bacteria
Description: partial 16S ribosomal RNA
Rfam family: Bacterial small subunit ribosomal RNA
Source: RNAcentral